Molecule: long non-coding RNA, 2030 nt
Filed under: Monodelphis domestica (gray short-tailed opossum)
Lineage: Eukaryota; Metazoa; Chordata; Mammalia; Didelphimorphia; Didelphidae
Description: lncRNA (ENSMODG00000046089.1)
Source: RNAcentral
CCACACGUUAAGGACUAUAUAAACUUUAAGUCAAAAUAAAUGCAAAUAUAAUUUUUUAUUACCAUUACUGAUAUUAUUAUCAGUCAUGGAUAGAUGGUUAUACCAUUUUGUGAUCCCCACCAUCAAUAUUAUUUAUUCUUCCGAAUAUCUUUGCUGACUUUUAGUCCCUAUUUAAAUAGGCUGAAACAAGAUUCUGAUUCAAGUAGCACCAAAGAUCACCUCCUGCCUACCUUUGUACCUAAGGUGUUUCCUCAUGAUUACUGUUAUUCCCAAGAUUGCCAAAGGAAUUAAUAAUAAUUAGCUACUUAUUGCAAAGUGCAGUCAGAAUCAGCAUAUAAAACACCUGCUUUCCCCUUCACCAUUCAUUUCCUCCCUUUGUUUAAUCACACAAUGAAACAAUUAUCUUCCAUUUGUGACAUCACAAUCACUCCCAUAGCAACAGGCAUCUGCUUCUGACACUUCAAUAUGGGAAUAAUCAGGGAGCAGAUAUGAAUGUGGAGGAGAAAGACCUUGUUUAUAUAUAAAUAAGUUAACAACCAGCAAUUGCUGGGAAAGAGAAAUGGAGAGGAAAAGUAAUGUCUCACAGAUAAGACUUCCUUUUUAAAUGUUAAUUUUUUCAUCUAUCUGACCGUAAACUUCAUCUCUGAAACUUUUUUCCCAUUAUUGUCAUCAUACCUAGAGCACAUAGAGCUGAACGCUAGCUCACUGUGACCUUUCUGAAAUCACAGGCAAUCCUUUCUCUUUGUCAUUCUGAUAAUGGAAUGGAUCAGAUUCUUCCUGAAGACAUUAUAAUAGAGUUCAACUGUCUAUGCUGUACACUAAUGAAAAAUGUUAAACCCAGUGCUUCUCCAGUAUGCACCCCCACAGCACACAGCAGAUGCCCUGCCUAGAGAUGUCCAUAUGGCAUGCUGGUCUCGAUGAUAUUUCCUCUACUGUCAAGGGAGCUGGCUGUAUGGAUGAGCUGUUGUUGAUGCCAUGUGGAGGCUUAGAUAGAAGUAUGUUGAAGGAAAGACUUUUUAUUUGUCCCUUCCAGUCACUACUCAACAAGGCCAACUUGAUAUGUAGGGGAAGGGCUCUACUUUUAAAUGAUGGGAAUACAAAUACAAACAAAAAAAAGAAAAAAAAUCACUGUCCUCAGGAGAUUACAUUCUAAUGAAAGAAGAAAUUACAUAAAGGAGCUGAAAACUGGAGCAUAGAACAAGAGAGGAGGAAAAGAGAGAGUAAGUGUCUGGAUAUUAUAUCAAACUUCUUCAAAAUGGAAGAGCUCACCAAUCAGGGAACAAGGUCACAGAAAUGAGGUCUUUUAAAAGAUGAGAAGAAGGCUGCUUUUGCAUGGAGAAGUGUGAAGUGUUUGAAAUAUACUGUAAGUGACUAAUAUCAUAGACUUCAAUAUGAGUAAAAAAAAAGAAAAAGAGGGAGAGGGAAUGAAGUUAUCUGACCUCUAAAUUAUGGGAAAUUGGGCCAUAGAAAAUGCAAUAUUCGGGCAUGAAGAAAACAUUUGUCAAGUCUCAUGGAAUCUAGCUCAAUAAUUUGUUGUUGUUGAAUCUAAGUCAGUCCCCCCAAAAAUGGAGUACAGGCACAGAACUCUCUACUUAAAAUAGAAACAAAGAAUGUGCACUAGAUCAGGAUCCCCAACUGCAACUCAAAACUGAUUAACCCCUAGAUAGCCUCCUGCCUCAAUUGAUUUCCUCUGCACUAUAUCUCUUUUGAAAGGGAGGAAGAAGCUCCUCAUGGUUCUGUCCCUACUGGCUAAAGGCAAAGGUUCUACUGCUUUCCACUUACUACUCACUUUCUUUGCUAAAUACAAGAAAUUUUCCUAACUGCACUAUGAGAUUCAUUUUCCAGAAACUUUGGUGGUCUGACAUUUUUAUGUUGGUAAAUCUCUCCUUGUGUGUGUGUUGGGGGGCAGUAUAGCAUAAAAGAGUUAGAAAAGAUACAUGCUAGAGUUCUGGCUCAGGAAUUAACUAUGUGGCUAUCCUAAUUCUUAGUGUUUUAAGAAUAAAGCAGAAUGUAAACCUUAAUGUGUGACA